GUGGAAGUGUCCAGAUCCUCAUUUCUUGUAUGUGACACUGUUACAGAUAAUUCAUUUGUGCAGAUUAACAACGAGAACCAUUGGUAUCGUCUGCUUUCCAUUCACUGUGUGAGCGACUACAUUCCACUGUUCUCCACUGUCGACAGAAAAAAAGUUAAAGAAUUAAGCAUGACAGAAGACCAGUUGCGCUGUUCCAUCUGCCUGGAUCUCUUCGUCCACCCUGUCUCCACUCCAUGUGGAAAAAACUUCUGCAAAUGUACGCCAUGUUUUAUGGAACUUUCUAUGGAUCCCAACUUCGUAUUAUGUCUCAUACAGUAAAUUGUAUGUAUUUUUUGUCUGCCACUGGUUUACACUGAUUUGUCCCCCAGGGAGGAAUAAAUACCCUAUCUAUCUAUCUA
Molecule: long non-coding RNA, 398 nt
Organism: Oncorhynchus tshawytscha (Chinook salmon)
Lineage: Eukaryota; Metazoa; Chordata; Actinopteri; Salmoniformes; Salmonidae
Exons: 2
Source: RefSeq, a predicted model, not a curated record